RNAcentral lists this ribosomal RNA (499 nucleotides) under uncultured Glomeromycotina. RNAcentral's name for it is "partial small subunit ribosomal RNA". It matches the Rfam family "Eukaryotic small subunit ribosomal RNA", at positions 591 to 1092 of the family's 1831-position model. The record is from RNAcentral. Lineage: Eukaryota; Fungi; Glomeromycota.
CCAAUAGCGUAUAUUAAAGUUGCUGCAGUUAAAAAGCUCGUAGUUGAAUUUCGGGACCAUCAUGUUGGUCGUGCCUCGGUACGUACUGGCAUUGUUGGUUUCUCCCUUCUGACGAACCAUGAUGUCAUUUAUUUGGUGUCGUGGGAAAUCAGGACUGUUACUUUGAAAAAAUUAGAGUGUUUAAAGCAGGCUCACGCUUGAAUACAUUAGCAUGGAAUAAUGAAAUAGGACGUUUGAUUCUAUUUUGUUGGUUUCUAGGAUCGACGUAAUGAUUAAUAGGGAUAGUUGGGGGCAUUAGUAUUCAAUUGUCAGAGGUGAAAUUCUUGGAUUUAUUGAAGACUAACUACUGCGAAAGCAUUUGCCAAGGAUGUUUUCAUUAAUCAAGAACGAAAGUUAGGGGAUCGAAGACGAUCAGAUACCGUCGUAGUCUUAACCAUAAACUAUGCCGACUAGGGAUCGGAUGAUGUUAAUUUUUUAAUGACUCAUUCGGCGCCUUACG